Molecule: long non-coding RNA, 1473 nt
Filed under: Homo sapiens (human)
Lineage: Eukaryota; Metazoa; Chordata; Mammalia; Primates; Hominidae
Description: HSALNT0251820
Source: RNAcentral
ACACUGCACCCGGGGGUGGAACAGUAGUGUGUGAAGAGAGGAACAUGAAAUUCAUUAUUCACCGGAACUGGGCCAGCAUUUGAACUGUGGCUAGCCUGUUGCCCAACUCCAGGUGGCGCCACUCACGGGGAGUUUUAUUUCCAGAAAAGCCCUUCCCAGAAAACAGGGCAUGUACGGUGCCCCCUGGAGUUGUGUGAGGAUACCCUACUAGUUUGGAUUCAACAAACAAUUGAGAUGAGCAUGGUGGCCUAGAGACGAUCUCUCUUCUGUUGGCAUUUGAGAACAUCAUCAACAAAGCACAGAACAACAUUUGAUUGAGUCACCAGAAGCCAGCAUUCACAGGUGGCUCAGUGGAUGAUACAACAUCCAAUGUUCCUCACAAAGGUGAAUGAUUUCCUGCUGCAAAGACUGUGAGGCAUCAUUUUUCCAAUUAGAAGUGUUGCUUUGUCAUUGGACUACAUAUAUCUGGAUACCAUAAUGAUAAUGGACUUGCUUCCCUUUUAAUUUCAUGAUUGAGCAUUUAUAUCCUGAGUUAGACCCAGUCUGACAAAGGCACUGACAUGGAGGAGCUCAUGGUCUGAUGGGGAUAACAGGUAAAAACUACCCCCGUACCAGUUACUCUGGGUGAAGAAAGGCGUCUAUGUUUGGCAAGGACUAAGGAAUAUUUGACUUCAUGAAUCAAUAACUAUUCUCAAAGCUGCUAUUGACCUCUGAUCUGCAAAUCUGUCAGCAAAGAGAGAUUAUGGAACUCUGCAUCAAAUCGCUUUCCGUGAAUUUGUUUCCAUGCAGUGGUGUGGAAGAGCAAUUAUAAAAUUAAUUCAGAGCAGGAAUGUUUUAUAUCCUGAAUGAAGAAGAAAGGGGAGAUUGGAGGUGCUACCUUAAUGUGUGCCUGGAUCCAUCAUUCCUGAACAUGCUGCUGUUUUAUUUCAUUCUGAUGUGGUGUUUCUCCCAGCUCCUAAGCUCCUUUUGGCAUAUAUCUUUUUGCAGAACUGGAAAAAAUUUGAAAUGAGAAAAAAUGAGUUGUGGCUGUUUUUUGUUUUGGGUUUUGUUUUGGUAGAAAUGGGGUUUUAGCAUAUUUCCCAAGCUGGUCUGGAGCUCCUGAGCUCAAGGGAGCCGCUGGCCUCAGCCUCCCAAAGUGCUGGGAUUACAGGCAUGAGCCGCCACACCCAGCCUAAGAAAUGGGUUUUGUUUUGAGAUUUCCACAACCACACUAGAAGUGGCUGACAUCCUGGGAGUGAGUGUGGAAACUUCAAGACUGGCUUUUGAGAACCUGAGUCUAGGGCGUGUAUCGGGUGCUUCUUAUGUUUUCGUGCUCACUUGUGUGGGAAGACAAGAUAUGAGACAAAAAGACACACAUAGCUGCAGGCACACACGUACAUGUGUAUACAUAUUGCUGGUUUAGAAGGCCUUGAGCCUUUGGGAUACUGAGGCCAGAGGAUCACUUGAGCCUGGGAGUUUGAAACCAGCUUGCGC